RNAcentral lists this unclassified non-coding RNA (321 nucleotides) under uncultured Thelephoraceae. RNAcentral's name for it is "sequence contains ITS2". The stretch from base 1 to 52 matches the Rfam family "5.8S ribosomal RNA", at positions 103 to 154 of the family's 154-position model. The record is from RNAcentral. Lineage: Eukaryota; Fungi; Basidiomycota; Agaricomycetes; Thelephorales; Thelephoraceae.
AACGCACCUUGCGCUCCUUGGUAUUCCGAGGAGCAUGCCUGUUUGAGUGUCAUGAAAUUCUCAACUGCCCCAGGCUUUGUGGCCUGCGGGUGAAGUUGGACUUGGAGGUAUGCUGGCGCAUGAAUGGGCUUUUGUGCCCCGUCUCGCUUGUUGGCUCCUCUUGAAUGCAUGAGCUUUCCAAUCCUUGGCAAAGUAUCGUCGAUGUGAUAAUUGUCUACGUCGCCUGAGAAAGCCGAAAAGGGGAAAUCUUUGAUCACGCUGGGGUGACCUGCGUCUGACAAAUUCGACCUCAAAUCAGGUAGGACUACCCGCUGAACUUAA